GAUAGCAUGGCGCAGUGGUAGCGCGCGGGGCCCAUAACCCCGAGGUCACUUGAUCGAAACAAGUUGCUGCUA
RNAcentral lists this transfer RNA (72 nucleotides) under Desarmillaria tabescens. RNAcentral's name for it is "Armillaria tabescens (ringless honey mushroom) tRNA". It matches the Rfam family "tRNA". Rfam says of the family: Transfer RNA (tRNA) molecules are approximately 80 nucleotides in length. Their secondary structure includes four short double-helical elements and three loops (D, anti-codon, and T loops). Further hydrogen bonds mediate the characteristic L-shaped molecular structure. tRNAs have two regions of fundamental functional importance: the anti-codon, which is responsible for specific mRNA codon recognition, and the 3' end, to which the tRNAs corresponding amino acid is attached (by aminoacyl-tRNA synthetases). tRNAs cope with the degeneracy of the genetic code in two manners: having more than one tRNA (with a specific anti-codon) for a particular amino acid; and 'wobble' base-pairing, i.e. permitting non-standard base-pairing at the 3rd anti-codon position. Lineage: Eukaryota; Fungi; Basidiomycota; Agaricomycetes; Agaricales; Physalacriaceae. The record is from Rfam by way of RNAcentral.